UUGCACUGUUCGUAACCUGUUGGCAGCCACUUCUGAUGAUGGGUUCCAUUCCAGUGCUACAGUAACACCCAGGGUUCAUCCGGAUUGACUUGUGUCUCUCUGUGCUGACAUCUGGGGGACAGCU
This 124-nucleotide small nucleolar RNA is filed under the name Notamacropus eugenii (tammar wallaby). The record is from RNAcentral. Lineage: Eukaryota; Metazoa; Chordata; Mammalia; Diprotodontia; Macropodidae.